RNAcentral lists this ribosomal RNA (253 nucleotides) under uncultured bacterium. Its description in RNAcentral is "partial 16S ribosomal RNA". It matches the Rfam family "Bacterial small subunit ribosomal RNA", at positions 524 to 776 of the family's 1533-position model. The record is from RNAcentral.
UACGUAGGUGGCGAGCGUUGUCCGGAUUUACUGGGCGUAAAGGGGGCGUAGGCGGACUUUUAAGUGAGAUGUGAAAUACUCGGGCUCAACUUGAGUGCUGCAUUUCAAACUGGAAGUCUAGAGUGCAGGAGAGGAGAAUGGAAUUCCUAGUGUAGCGGUGUAAUGCGUAGAGAUUAGGAAGAACACCAGUGGCGAAGGCGAUUCUCUGGACUGUAACUGACGCUGAGGCUCGAAAGCGUGGGGAGCAAACAGG